UACGGAGGGUGCAAGCGUUAUCCGGAUUCGCUGGGUUUAAAGGGUGCGUAGGCGGGUAAGUAAGUCCGUGGUGAAAUCUCUGAGCUUAACUCCGAAACUGCAUUCGAUACUGCCGUGCUUGAGGACUGGAGAGGAGACUGGAAUUUACGGUGUAGCGGUGAAAUGCGUAGAUAUCGUAAGGAAGACCAGUGGCGAAGGCGGGUCUCUGGACAGUUCCUGACACUGAGGCACGAAGGCCAGGGGAGCAAACGGG
This 253-nucleotide ribosomal RNA is filed under the name uncultured bacterium. Its description in RNAcentral is "partial 16S ribosomal RNA". It matches the Rfam family "Bacterial small subunit ribosomal RNA", at positions 524 to 776 of the family's 1533-position model. The record is from RNAcentral.